AUGGAGCAGCUAUGGAUCGAGGGCAUCCGAAGGAAACUGAGAAUAGAAAAAGAUUCCCGUGUUUCCACAGAUAUCAAAAUUGUUCAUGGGGACAAGAAAACGGAGUUUAUGGAGAACUAUGUAGAAGAACUACAGAAGAAAACAAAGACCUUUUUCUUGGCAGCAAAACAGAGCAGCAAAAAUUAUUAUUUCCAUGCCUGUGAAAGAGGCAACAAACCAACAGGAAAAAGCAUGGGCAAGGCAUGUGAAACAAGGGCCAAUUCCUGUGAAGCCUAUGUGUCAUUUAAAUUUAUAGAGGAGACCGGUUUCACAGCAGUAGUAGUUCGGCAGCAAUUAACACACACAGGACAUGAUUUGUCAAACCCUGAAGAGAGGAAGAAAAAUGCAAUUAAUCCAGAAUUGUUAGGAUUUGUCGAAAUAUGGCUCACACAAGGUCUAUCCAUAUCACAGAUUGUCAUAAAAAGUUGUGAUUGGGCAUGUAGUCGGGGUUACACCGAUAAGCAUGACAGACGUUUCUUCCUAACUCCAGAAGAUGUAAGGUUGGUAAAACGCCAUCUCCGCAUCUUCACUUUGCCGGACAUUAAUGAUGCUGUGAGUGUGGAAAAGCUGGUGACAGGUGAACUGAAAGAAAAUAUUUGCUUUUUUCAACCUUUGACAAAAGACCAGCCACUGGUUAUUGUUGUCCAGACACCACAACAGAAGGCUCUACUCCAAGAGAACCCCCACCCCAUGGUUUUUAUGGAUGCAUCCUACAAAGGUUUGACAUCAUAUGGGUAUGCACUGUAUGCCCUUGUACUUGUCAAUCAAACUGGAAGAGGAGUGCCAUUUGCGUACCUAAUAAUGAGCCAGGAAUCCUCAGCAAUAGUUGAGCUUUGCUUGAACAUGCUUUGUUCAAGAAAUCCAAACUUUUACCCAAGGUCAGUUAUGAUCGACAGAGACUUAAAAGAGCUCAAUGCCAUAAGAGAAGUUUUCCCCAAAACCAAAGUUCUCCUCUGUUGGUUUCAUGUUCUCCAGGCUGUACAUCGCUGGGUUACAUCAAGAGAUGGUGGGAACCUGUCACCUGACAAAAGACAUGUCGUCAUUCAUGCCAUGACCUCAAUGAAAGCUUGCAUGACGGAGGAAGAUUUUGUGACCGUUUCCACUAGUGUGUGCAAUGACCUUGAUGCCCAGCUUGGCAGCAAUCGAGUGACAACAUACCUGAAGGUGCACUGGCUUCCACAUGCAGCACUAUGGGCCAAUUUUGGACGACUAUUUGAGCACAACAACAGCGACACCAACAACAAGGCAGAGAGGUUUUUUCUUGCGCUGAAAUACUAG
RNAcentral lists this long non-coding RNA (1317 nucleotides) under Carassius auratus (goldfish). Its description in RNAcentral is "lncRNA (ENSCARG00000043006.1)". The record is from RNAcentral. Lineage: Eukaryota; Metazoa; Chordata; Actinopteri; Cypriniformes; Cyprinidae.